Molecule: small nucleolar RNA, 138 nt
Organism: Tachyglossus aculeatus (Australian echidna)
Lineage: Eukaryota; Metazoa; Chordata; Mammalia; Monotremata; Tachyglossidae
Source: RefSeq, a predicted model, not a curated record
GCCCUCUCAGGGUCUCAUCUGGAGAGCUUCCAGUACUCUACCAGUCACGACUACCGGAGAGAUAAUCGAGCAGAGGCCUACCCAUUCCAUUCCUAGCUUGGGCAGCGGCUAGCGAGUGGAAGGCAAUCUGCUACAAGU